GCAAUGGUGGUUCGGUGGUAGAAUUCUCACCUUCCAUGUGGGAGACCUGAGUUCGAUUCCUGGCCGAUGCA
This 71-nucleotide transfer RNA is filed under the name Loxodonta africana (African savanna elephant). It matches the Rfam family "tRNA". From Rfam's summary of the family: Transfer RNA (tRNA) molecules are approximately 80 nucleotides in length. Their secondary structure includes four short double-helical elements and three loops (D, anti-codon, and T loops). Further hydrogen bonds mediate the characteristic L-shaped molecular structure. tRNAs have two regions of fundamental functional importance: the anti-codon, which is responsible for specific mRNA codon recognition, and the 3' end, to which the tRNAs corresponding amino acid is attached (by aminoacyl-tRNA synthetases). tRNAs cope with the degeneracy of the genetic code in two manners: having more than one tRNA (with a specific anti-codon) for a particular amino acid; and 'wobble' base-pairing, i.e. permitting non-standard base-pairing at the 3rd anti-codon position. Lineage: Eukaryota; Metazoa; Chordata; Mammalia; Proboscidea; Elephantidae. The record is from Rfam by way of RNAcentral.